CAUGGCAGGAACUUACCAGAGAUGGUUUGGUGCUCGAAAGAGAACCUGCACACAGGUGCUGCAUGGCUGUCGUCAGCUCGUGUCGUGAGAUGUUGGGUUAAGUCCCGCAACGAGCGCAACCCUUGCCAUUAGUUGCUACAUUCAGUUGGGCACUCUAAUGGGACUGCCGGUGACAAACCGGAGGAAGGUGGGGAUGACGUCAAGUCCUCAUGGCCCUUAUAGGUGGGGCUACACACGUCAUACAAUGGCUGGUACAAAGGGUUGCCAACCCGCGAGGGGGAGCUAAUCCCAUAAAGCCAGUCGUAGUCCGGAUCGCAGUCUGCAACUCGACUGCGUGAAGUCGGAAUCGCUAGUAAUCGUGGAUCAGAAUGUCACGGUGAAUACGUUCCCGGGUCUUGUACACACCGCCCGUCACACCAUGGGAGCGGGUCUCGCCAGAAGU
This 442-nucleotide ribosomal RNA is filed under the name Comamonas testosteroni. RNAcentral's name for it is "bacterial SSU rRNA". It matches the Rfam family "Bacterial small subunit ribosomal RNA", at positions 985 to 1427 of the family's 1533-position model. The record is from RNAcentral. Lineage: Bacteria; Pseudomonadati; Pseudomonadota; Betaproteobacteria; Burkholderiales; Comamonadaceae.